GACGAACGCUGGCGGCGUGCUUAACACAUGCAAGUCGAACGGAAAGGCCUCUUUCGGGGGGUACUCGAGUGGCGAACGGGUGAGUAACACGUGAGUAACCUGCCCUUGACUUUGGGAUAACUUCAGGAAACUGGGGCUAAUACCGGAUAGGAGCUCCUGCUGCAUGGUGGGGGUUGGAAAGUUUCGGCGGUUGGGGAUGGACUCGCGGCUUAUCAGCUUGUUGGUGGGGUAGUGGCUUACCAAGGCUUUGACGGGUAGCCGGCCUGAGAGGGUGACCGGCCACAUUGGGACUGAGAUACGGCCCAUACUCCUACGGGAGGCAGCAGUGGGGAAUAUUGCACAAUGGGUGGAAGCCUGAUGCAGCAACGCCGUGUGCGGGAUGACGGCCUUCGGGUUGGAAACCGCUUUCGCUCAUGACGAAGCUUUGUGUGACGGUAGUGGGUAAAGAAGCACCGGCUAACUACGUG
RNAcentral lists this ribosomal RNA (467 nucleotides) under uncultured bacterium. RNAcentral's name for it is "partial 16S ribosomal RNA". It matches the Rfam family "Bacterial small subunit ribosomal RNA", at positions 28 to 507 of the family's 1533-position model. The record is from RNAcentral.